RNAcentral lists this unclassified non-coding RNA (18 nucleotides) under Chlamydomonas reinhardtii. RNAcentral's name for it is "small RNA Cre_3060". The record is from RNAcentral. Lineage: Eukaryota; Viridiplantae; Chlorophyta; Chlorophyceae; Chlamydomonadales; Chlamydomonadaceae.
UGCCGGACCGUGCGCGGC